GCGAGGUGAUGAUAGAAAUUCAUGUCUGUCAAUCCACUGACUGUCAUAGUGUGAUGACCUCGUGAAUCCCGACAGGUUCUGAUCGC
Small nucleolar RNA from Quercus robur (English oak), 86 nucleotides. RefSeq annotates it as small nucleolar RNA snoR14. The transcript has a single exon. The record is from RefSeq and is a predicted model, not a curated record. NCBI's taxonomy places the organism in Eukaryota, Viridiplantae, Streptophyta, Magnoliopsida, Fagales, Fagaceae.